This 78-nucleotide microRNA precursor is filed under the name Chlorocebus sabaeus (green monkey). RNAcentral's name for it is "miRNA (ENSCSAG00000023150.1)". The record is from RNAcentral. Lineage: Eukaryota; Metazoa; Chordata; Mammalia; Primates; Cercopithecidae.
CCCGGCCGCGGAUGCCUGGUAAUAGGCGGCAGCGGCGGCGGCGGCGGCGGCGGCGGCGGCGGCGGCGGCGGCGGCGGC